RNAcentral lists this long non-coding RNA (264 nucleotides) under Mytilus galloprovincialis (Mediterranean mussel). Lineage: Eukaryota; Metazoa; Mollusca; Bivalvia; Mytilida; Mytilidae. The record is from RNAcentral.
AUAAUAUGUAAAUUUAUGAUUAAAAAUGAUUUAUUAAUGAGGAAUCAGAAAAAUUAUUUAGUGAAUUGGUAAAUGGACAAUUGGUCCCACUUCAUUUAACAGUGAGCACAUCUCUGGUCAAGGUUUAGUCGCUCUGCUUUCUAAAUUAAUUUAAACACGUUUUUUAUUGGUCAAGCAGUACAGUAAUUUAUAUUGGAUAAAAAUUUCAAUUUAAAAGUAGAACUCACUAUUGAUUUUCACUUUUCAGAAACACCAGAAAACAGG